CCUAAAAUUUUGGUUUCUGCUCAGGAUGAACGCUGGCGGCGUGCCUAAUACAUGCAAGUCGAACGCUUUGUGGUUCAACUGAUUUGAAGAGCUUGCUCAGAUAUGACGAUGGACAUUGCAAAGAGUGGCGAACGGGUGAGUAACACGUGGGAAACCUACCUCUUAGCAGGGGAUAACAUUUGGAAACAGAUGCUAAUACCGUAUAACAAUGACAACCGCAUGGUUGUUAUUUGAAAGAUGGUUCUGCUAUCACUAAGAGAUGGUCCCGCGGUGCAUUAGCUAGUUGGUAAGGUAAUGGCUUACCAAGGCGAUGAUGCAUAGCCGAGUUGAGAGACUGAUCGGCCACAAUGGGACUGAGACACGGCCCAUACUCCUACGGGAGGCAGCAGUAGGGAAUCUUCCACAAUGGGCGAAAGCCUGAUGGAGCAACGCCGCGUGUGUGAUGAAGGGUUUCGGCUCGUAAAACACUGUUGUAAGAGAAGAAUGACAUUGAGAGUAACUGUUCAAUGUGUGACGGUAUCUUACCAGAAAGGAACGGCUAAAUACGUGCCAGCAGCCGCGGUAAUACGUAUGUUCCAAGCGUUAUCCGGAUUUAUUGGGCGUAAAGCGAGCGCAGACGGUUAUUUAAGUCUGAAGUGAAAGCCCUCAGCUCAACUGAGGAAUUGCUUUGGAAACUGGAUGACUUGAGUGCAGUAGAGGAAAGUGGAACUCCAUGUGUAGCGGUGAAAUGCGUAGAUAUAUGGAAGAACACCAGUGGCGAAGGCGGCUUUCUGGACUGUAACUGACGUUGAGGCUCGAAAGUGUGGGUAGCAAACAGGAUUAGAUACCCUGGUAGUCCACACCGUAAACGAUGAGUGCUAGGUGUUUGAGGGUUUCCGCCCUUAAGUGCCGCAGCUAACGCAUAAGCACUCCG
RNAcentral lists this ribosomal RNA (913 nucleotides) under Weissella confusa. RNAcentral's name for it is "bacterial SSU rRNA". It matches the Rfam family "Bacterial small subunit ribosomal RNA", at positions 1 to 871 of the family's 1533-position model. The record is from RNAcentral. Lineage: Bacteria; Bacillati; Bacillota; Bacilli; Lactobacillales; Lactobacillaceae.